AUUGAACGCUGGCGGCAGGCCUAACACAUGCAAGUCGAGCGGGGUUUUCGGACCUAGCGGCGGACGGGUGAGUAAUGCGUAGGAAGCUACCCGAUAGAGGGGGAUACCAGUUGGAAACGACUGUUAAUACCGCAUAAUGUCUACGGACCAAAGUGUGGGACCUUCGGGCCACAUGCUAUCGGAUGCGCCUACGUGGGAUUAGCUAGUUGGUGAGGUAAUGGCUCACCAAGGCGACGAUCCCUAGCUGGUUUGAGAGGAUGAUCAGCCACACUGGAACUGAGACACGGUCCAGACUCCUACGGGAGGCAGCAGUGGGGAAUAUUGGACAAUGGGCGCAAGCCUGAUCCAGCCAUGCCGCGUGUGUGAAGAAGGCCUUCGGGUUGUAAAGCACUUUCAGCGAGGAGGAAGGGGUGAGUGUUAAUAGUACUCAUCUUUGACGUUACUCGCAGAAGAAGCACCGGCUAACUCUGUGCCAGCAGCCGCCGCCG
RNAcentral lists this ribosomal RNA (488 nucleotides) under uncultured bacterium. RNAcentral's name for it is "partial 16S ribosomal RNA". It matches the Rfam family "Bacterial small subunit ribosomal RNA", at positions 30 to 523 of the family's 1533-position model. The record is from RNAcentral.